CCUACGGGAGGCAGCAGUGGGGAAUUUUGGACAAUGGGCGCAAGCCUGAUCCAGCAAUGCCGCGUGAGUGAAGAAGGCCUUCGGGUUGUAAAGCUCUUUUGUCAGGGAAGAAACGGUGGAGGUUAAUACCUUCUGCUAAUGACGGUACCUGAAGAAUAAGCACCGGCUAACUACGUGCCAGCAGCCGCGGUAAUACGUAGGGUGCAAGCGUUAAUCGGAAUUACUGGGCGUAAAGCGUGCGCAGGCGGUUGUGCAAGACAGAUGUGAAAUCCCCGGGCUCAACCUGGGAAUUGCAUUUGUGACUGUACGGCUAGAGUGUGUCAGAGGGGGGUAGAAUUCCACGUGUAGCAGUGAAAUGCGUAGAGAUGUGGAGGAAUACCGAUGGCGAAGGCAGCCCCCUGGGAUAACACUGACGCUCAUGCACGAAGACGUGGGAGGACGAACAGAGUAGUAUACCUACGUAGUACCGACCGACCCGUAACCGAAC
Molecule: ribosomal RNA, 487 nt
Filed under: uncultured bacterium
Lineage: Bacteria
Description: bacterial SSU rRNA
Rfam family: Bacterial small subunit ribosomal RNA
Source: RNAcentral